UACGUAGGGUGCGAGCGUUACUCGGAAUUACUGGGCGUAAAGCGUGCGCAGGCGGUUCGUGAAGUCUGGUGUGAAAGCCCCGGGCUCAACCUGGGAAUUGCAUUGGAAACUAGCGGGCUGGAGUGUGGCAGAGGGGGGUGGAAUUCCACGUGUAGCAGUGAAAUGCGUAGAGAUGUGGAGGAACACCGAUGGCGAAGGCAGCCCCCUGGGCUAACACUGACGCUCAUGCACGAAAGCGUGGGGAGCAAACAGG
RNAcentral lists this ribosomal RNA (253 nucleotides) under uncultured bacterium. Its description in RNAcentral is "partial 16S ribosomal RNA". It matches the Rfam family "Bacterial small subunit ribosomal RNA", at positions 524 to 776 of the family's 1533-position model. The record is from RNAcentral.